UACGGAGGGUGCAAGCGUUGUCCGGAAUCACUGGGCGUAAAGCGUGCGUAGGCGGUGUCUUAAGUUUGUUGUGAAAUCUCCCGGCUUAACCGGGAGGGUGCGGCGAAUACUGAGAUGCUGGAGUGCCGGAGAGGUAAGCGGAAUUCCGCGUGUAGCAGUGAAAUGCGUAGAUAUGCGGAGGAACACCGAUGGCGAAGGCAAUCCCCUGGGCCUGCACUGACGCUCAUGCACGAAAGCGUGGGGAGCAAACAGG
RNAcentral lists this ribosomal RNA (253 nucleotides) under uncultured bacterium. Its description in RNAcentral is "partial 16S ribosomal RNA". It matches the Rfam family "Bacterial small subunit ribosomal RNA", at positions 524 to 776 of the family's 1533-position model. The record is from RNAcentral.